RNAcentral lists this long non-coding RNA (575 nucleotides) under Ananas comosus (pineapple). Its description in RNAcentral is "long non-coding RNA (ACOM_LNC022339)". The record is from RNAcentral. Lineage: Eukaryota; Viridiplantae; Streptophyta; Magnoliopsida; Poales; Bromeliaceae.
UGACUUGUGAGCGAAAGUAUUUCGAUUAGGUUUAUGAUAACUCUAAAAAGUUAGAGUUCGAUCGGAGUGUAUGGCUUCUAACUUCGCGGAGGGUUACGUUGGCGGCCGACAACGUAACAUCGGGAGUUAGUAGUGAAGGACAUUUCCUUACUUUCGCAUGAUUUGGGGUUUUAUCUUCUUGAGCGGGGAUGCGAUAGCGUGUGUUAUUAACUUGCGCUUUUUUGUUUUGUAGUGACGAUGCCGGUUACACGCUCCCAGUCUGCCGGGGCGGAUGAUGCGGCACACCCCGAGGAGGUCGAGACCUCCGCUACUUCCGGAUCCAGUGAGGUCCGUGACUUGAGGGCCCAGCUUGCGGUUCUCACCGAUCUGUUGGCGCAGCAGACGGCAGCGGCGCAGCGACAGGCUGAGGUGGCUCAGCGGCAGGAGUGGCGGAUGAAGCAUCUUGAGGACCUCCUACUUCAGCAGGCGGCAGCUUCGAGGGAGACCCAGGGUCCCACACCACCAGCACCCGUGGUGGACGUUGCACCGAGGGCGCAGUCCCCCACGCCCAGUUCUUCACGUGCGGCACCGGCGAC